UCUCCGUAGGUGAACCUGCGGAGGGAUCAUUACAGAGUUCAUGCCCUACCGGGUAGAUCUCCCACCCUAUGUUAUUAUUACUUUGUUGCUUCGGCGGGCCGUUAGGCUCCGGCCCGACUACCGGCCCCGGCUGGUAAGCGCCCGCCAGAGGACCCAAAACCCUGAAUAUUAGUGUCGUCUGAGUACUAUAUAAUAGUUAAAACUUUCAACAACGGAUCUCUUGGUCCUG
This 229-nucleotide unclassified non-coding RNA is filed under the name plant metagenome. RNAcentral describes it as "partial contains small subunit ribosomal RNA, internal transcribed spacer 1, and 5.8S ribosomal RNA". The record is from RNAcentral.